CUUCGCCUGGAGACUCCGCGGGAGGGCGGCAGAGCGGAGGUCAGGGCUCUAGGCGGAGGACGAGGCGUGGGCUUCUUCCUCAGGCCAGGGAAAGCAGAGAAUAUGAAAGCCUAUCUAAAGAGUGCAGAAGGCUAUUUUGUCCUGAAUAAAAGCACUACGAUUGGAAGGCAUGAAAAUUCAGACCUUGUUUUAGAGUCUGCAGACGUCGACAACCAUCACGCACUCAUUGAAUAUAAUGAGGCCGAAAGCAGCUUUGUUCUCCACGAC
This is a long non-coding RNA of Mesoplodon densirostris (Blainville's beaked whale), 267 nucleotides long. RefSeq lists it as uncharacterized. NCBI's taxonomy places the organism in Eukaryota, Metazoa, Chordata, Mammalia, Artiodactyla, Ziphiidae. The record is from RefSeq and is a predicted model, not a curated record. The transcript is spliced from 3 exons.